UACAGAGGUCUCAAGCGUUGUCCGGAAUCAUUGGGCGUAAAGAGCGUGUAGGCGGCCCGGUAAGUCCGCUGUAAAAGUCAAAGGCUCAACCUUUGAAUGUCAGUGGAUACUGCCGGGCUAGAGUCCGGAAGAGGCGAGUGGAACUCCUGGUGUAGCGGUGGAAUGCGCAGAUAUCAGGAAGAACACCAACGGCGAAGGCAGCUCGCUGGGACGGUACUGACGCUGAGACGCGAAAGCGUGGGGAGCGAACAGG
Molecule: ribosomal RNA, 253 nt
Filed under: uncultured bacterium
Lineage: Bacteria
Description: partial 16S ribosomal RNA
Rfam family: Bacterial small subunit ribosomal RNA
Source: RNAcentral